Molecule: ribosomal RNA, 1158 nt
Filed under: uncultured Verrucomicrobiota bacterium
Lineage: Bacteria; Pseudomonadati; Verrucomicrobiota
Description: bacterial SSU rRNA
Source: RNAcentral
AGUUUCGAAUCAUUCACAAUGGGCGAAAGCCUGAUGGUGCGACGCCGCGUGAGGGACGAAGGUCUUCGGAUUGUAAACCUCUGUCACCGGGGAAGAAACGCCAAGGGUUAACAGCCCUUGGCCUGACUUAACCCGGAGAGGAAGCAGUGGCUAACUCUGUGCCAGCAGCCGCGGUAAUACAGAGACUGCAAGCGUUAUUCGGAUUCACUGGGCGUAACGGGUGCGCAGGCGGCCAUGUGUGUCUGGUGUGAAAUCUCGGGGCUUAACCCCGAAAUUGCGCCGGAAACUACAUGGCUAGAGUACUGGAGAGGGUAGCGGAAUUCAUGGUGUAGCAGUGAAAUGCGUAGAUAUCAUGAGGAACACCAAUGGCGAAGGCAGCUACUUGGACAGUUACUGACGCUCAGGCACGAAAGCGUGGGGAGCAAAAGGGAUUAGAUACCCCUGUAGUCCACGCCCUAAACGGUGCACACUAGGUCUUGGAGGAUUCGACCCCUUCAGGGCCCAAGCUAACGCGUUAAGUGUGCCGCCUGAGGACUACGGCCGCAAGGCUAAAACUCAAAGGAAUUGACGGGGGCCCGCACAAGCGGUGGAGUAUGUGGCUUAAUUCGAUGCAACGCGAAGAACCUUACCUGGCCUUGACAUGCUUUGGACCGGCGCUGAAAGGCGCCUUCUCUUCGGAGCCGGAGCACAGGUGCUGCAUGGCUGUCGUCAGCUCGUGUCGUGAGAUGUUGCGUUAAGUCGCGCAACGAGCGCAACCCCUGUCCUUAGUUGCCAUCAUUUAGUCGGGCACUCUAAGGAGACAAACCCUCUCUGAGGGUGGGARGGUGGGGAUGACGUCAAGUCAGGAUGGCCCUUACGGCCAGGGCUGCACACGUACUACAAUGCUCGGUACAGAGGGACGCUAUGCCGCGAGGCGAUGCAAAUCUCAAAAACCGAGCCCAGUUCAGAUUGUAGUCUGCAACUCGACUACAUGAAGUUGGAAUCGCUAGUAAUGGCGCAUCAGCUACGGCGCCGUGAAUACGUUCCCGGGCCUUGUACACACCGCCCGUCACAUCAUGAAGGCCGGUUUUGCCCGAAGUGCGUUUGCCAACCAGCAAUGGAGGCGGCGCCCUAAGGUGAAGCUGGUGAUUGGGAUGAAGUCGUAACAAGGUAACCGUA